UAUUAUUAUUAUUAUUUAAAAAAAAAUUAGAACCCUAUUCUCUCUCCCACAAAGUUUUUGCCUCUCUUAACCAGCCGCCUCCCUCUCCUCUCUCUUUGCCUGUUCUCUUCUCUCUUCCCCUCAUACCCAUUUCAUUUUCUCUCUGCCUCCUUCUCUCACCAUCUAUGUUGAUGUCCUCUAUUCGAAGGCAACACUCUUCCUGGGUCAAAGACUCGAAGAGGAGGACAACAGGAUAGGCUUGCGGCAGGGGAUGGGAUGGAUAGUGGAGGGGUAGACGGCGAGCUAGGCUUGCGGCAGGGGAAUGGGAACGCGGGUUAUCGGACGACAAAGGACCACAGUACCAGGUUAUGUCGACCAUGGGAAUAUCAUAGGAUUGACUUUUAAGGUGGAUACCUGGAUUUAUUAGGAAGAAUAUUGAGAAAAGAAAUAUGAUUGAGUUUGCACUGAUUUUGAGAAGGGAAUUAUGUUGUUGUAUUAUAUAUUUUGAACUUUAUGGAUUUAUAAUAUUAUAAUGAAUUUUUAUUUAGAAUUAUUUAGUCUCAUGGGGAUUUGAUGUAUUAUUUACAUUUCAAUUGUAUGAAUAAAUGUUGUAUGUAUAUGAAUUUUUAUCAUGUUAAA
Humulus lupulus (European hop) is the source of this 618-nucleotide long non-coding RNA. RefSeq lists it as uncharacterized. The record is from RefSeq and is a predicted model, not a curated record. NCBI's taxonomy places the organism in Eukaryota, Viridiplantae, Streptophyta, Magnoliopsida, Rosales, Cannabaceae. The transcript is spliced from 2 exons.